UUCAUGGGGUCGCAAAGAGUCAGACACGACUGAGCGACUGAACUGAAUAGAAAGUAGGGUGCAACAGCAGAGAGGAAACACGCUAUGCUGUACUUUGUGGUUGUUUGUGAUCUGCUGUGACUUUUAUACUACUUGUCAUAUAUUUUGUAAAUCAACCAGGAAAAGGAGGCUUUGCCCAGGACUUCAGAACAGUCUAAGUGAGCCUAACUGAAGGCAGGAAGGAUGCUCGAGGGAAAUAGGCAGUACCUGUGAAAUCUAUCUUCUCCCUUCUGUUCUGUUCCCUUUCCGUUGAAUCUAGAAGAUGUGGGCACUUCCUUCAAGACGCCUGCAGCCCGUGUGUCACAGAGGAGAAGGUGGCAAAGAGGAAGGAGGCAGGGAUCACAAAGGCUGUUGGUUAUUGUGCCAUAUGCUGGAAUUACUAAAACAACACUGUAAAUCAACUCAAUUUUUAAAAAUACAACAGAAUUUGGAAGGUUUAAUAGUCAAAAGAAGCCCUUUGCCUCUAAGCCCACACUUCUCAUGACCUUGUAAAAAUGUUCUGAUUUCGAGUCAAAUGUUCAAAUAAUAUCUAGGAGGAAAUUGCCUCAGAAUCUCAAGUGUUAUAAAUCCAAACCUUUCACUGGAAGACCUAAGGUCUAAUUGCAACUCUUUGUUACAGCAUCUCAUGAGGUGAGUGGCCCUAGAGGGCCAGCCCCUUAUUAGCCCCUCUCUCUCACAUCUGGUGGGUCAGCCAAACACUCACUGGUGGAUGGGCUAAACACUCAGACCCUGAACCAACAGCACCAGAGCCGCCUGCAGACUUGUUAGAAACAGAACCUCUGGGUCUCUUCCCCAGACCUACUGAAUCUCUGAGAGUGGAGCUGGGCAUCUGCCUUUUAGCAAGACCGCUGGCCCUUUAAAGUUCAAGAACCAAUGACCUAAAAUCCUAUUGGCUUUUUGUCCUAGUUCUUUGUUUUCAGCUUGUUUAUCAUAUGUUAUGUUACAUUGGGUUGGCCAAAAAGUUCAUUUGAGUUUUUCCAUAUGAUGCAGAAAACCUCAACAAACUUUUGGCCUAUAUUGCAUUGCAUUACAUUAUGUGUAUAUGUAAAACAUGAGUUACUCCUAUAACUCCCCAUGAAGUCAGAGGUGUGAGGAAGCAAGGCCCAUGUAGUCACACUAGGUUUCGAGAACUGCCCCAAGAAACCAGAACAGGACUCUCUACUGUGGCACGCCUGACAUUUUGGUUGUGGUCCCUCUUUGUUGCAGGCAUUGCUGACCACUCAGCAGUAUCCCUGGCCUCUACCCACUAGAUGCCAGUAACACCCUUCCAGCUGUGGUUUGUGACAAUGAACAGUCUGGAGUCUUUGCUAAAGGUCUCAGGAAAGGGAGUAGGCAAGAUUGCCCAUCCUCUUGAGAAUCUCCAGCUCAGAGUGAUAAACAGCGUGGGUGUCUUCACGGGGGGUUAGCCAGGAAAGGGCUAGCUUCAGAGGCAGUGGGCUGGCGUUCAUACUGGGGCAGUAGCACCUGCCAGUGCUGCUUGCCAGGCCCGGCUCACAUUGUACACUCACUGCUGCGUUCAGCCCUUACGGCAAGCCUCUAGGGCAGGCUGUGUUCCCAUUUUAUGGAUGAAGAAACCAAGGUGUAGAGAUAAAGUCACACUGAUAGGUGAUAUACCAGGGAUUCAGCCCAGGUUCAUCUUAAUCAUGCUAUAGUGCCCAUCAUUUACUUAUUUUAUUUUUUGUGAAGACUUUCUCCAUUUUAGGGAUAAAGAUAUAAAGCCCAGAGAAAGAUUCCUUUUCUACUGUUAACUUACUUAUUUUCGGCUGCCUCGGGUCUUCCUUGCUGAGCACCUUGCUGAGCGUAGGCUUCCUCUAGUUGCUGCGAAUGAGGGCUGCUCUCUNNNNNNNNNNNNACAGGCUUCUCGUUGCUGUGGCUUCUCUUAUUGCGGAGCACAGGCUUUAGGCGGGCAGUAGUUGUAGCCCACGGGUUUAGGUGCCUCGUCACAUGUAUGAUCUUCCCAGACCAGGGAUCAAACGCGUGUCCCCUGCGUUGGCAGGUGGAUUCUUAACUACGGGACCACCAGAGAUACGUGCUAAGUUGCUUCAGUCGUGUCUGACUCCACCGUUCUGUGGACUGUAGCCUGCCAGGCUCCUCUGUCCCUGUAAUUCUCCAGGCAAGAAUACUGGAGUGGGUAGCCACUCUCUUCUCCUUCGGAUCUUCCUGACCCAUUUCCUUCACUGGCAGAUGGGUUCUUUACCACUAGGAA
Molecule: long non-coding RNA, 2245 nt
Filed under: Capra hircus (goat)
Lineage: Eukaryota; Metazoa; Chordata; Mammalia; Artiodactyla; Bovidae
Description: lncRNA (ENSCHIG00010013491.1)
Source: RNAcentral